Molecule: ribosomal RNA, 232 nt
Filed under: uncultured bacterium
Lineage: Bacteria
Description: partial 16S ribosomal RNA
Rfam family: Bacterial small subunit ribosomal RNA
Source: RNAcentral
CGGACGGGUGAGUAAUGUCUGGGAAACUGCCUGAUGGAGGGGGAUAACUACUGGAAACGGUAGCUAAUACCACAUAACGUCGCAAGACCAAAGAGGGGGACCUUCGGGCCUCUUGCCAUCGGAUGUGCCCAGAUGGGAUUAGCUAGUAGGUGGGGUAACGGCUCACCUAGGCGACGAUCCCUAGCUGGUCUGAGAGGAUGACCAGCCACACUGGAACUGAGACACGGUCCAG